CUGCCACCUCGCAGUUCAAUCUCAGACUGCUGUGCUAGCAGUGGGGAAGGCUCCGUGGGCAUGGAAACUGCCGAGCCAGGCACAGUAGAGAAUCACCUUGUCUGCCGGUUGCUAAGACCUUUGGAAAAGUGCAGUAUUUGGGUGAGAGUGUCCUAUUUUUCCAGGUACAGUCUGUCACGUCUUCCCUUGGCUAGGAAAGGGAAAUCCCCCGACCCCUUACACUUUCCGGGUGAGGCAACGCCCCACUCUGCUUCAGCUCACCCUCCAUGGGCUGCACUCACCUUCCAACCAGUCUCAAUGAGAUGAACCAGGUACCUCAGUUGGAAAUGCAGAAAUCACCCGUCUUCUGCGUCAAUCACGCUGAGAACUGCAGACCAGAGCUGUUCCUAUUUGGCCAUCUUGGAACCGGUCUGAGUCUGUUUUAGCCAGAUCAAGUACUUGGUUAGACUUCUCCUAUGGAGAAUGCAGCAAGAAAAUACCAUCUUGAAGCAGAGAGCAGCG
This 501-nucleotide long non-coding RNA is filed under the name Homo sapiens (human). RNAcentral describes it as "non-protein coding lnc-RMDN2-3:12". Lineage: Eukaryota; Metazoa; Chordata; Mammalia; Primates; Hominidae. The record is from RNAcentral.